UGCAGGUGGCCUUCGUAUCAGACUGGCUGAGGGGCAAGGCAGAAGUCAACAAAUACAUCAAUCGACUACCCAGUGGCUCCUUAAGGAGCAUGACCAGCUGAACUGCUGUAUUGUGGAGUAUCAGAACAAGGGCCAGGCUAACAAGUGCAUCCAGCAUCAGCAUGGGUUACAAAGAAAUCUCAUUUAUUUUGCUACCGUCACAGACACCAGCCCAACCAGUACUUCAAAAGCAAUG
RNAcentral lists this long non-coding RNA (235 nucleotides) under Homo sapiens (human). RNAcentral's name for it is "non-protein coding lnc-MEX3C-5:1". The record is from RNAcentral. Lineage: Eukaryota; Metazoa; Chordata; Mammalia; Primates; Hominidae.